Molecule: long non-coding RNA, 3472 nt
Filed under: Sus scrofa (pig)
Lineage: Eukaryota; Metazoa; Chordata; Mammalia; Artiodactyla; Suidae
Description: lncRNA (ENSSSCG00055006109.1)
Source: RNAcentral
UUCCUGACCUGGAAAUUUCUGCAUGCCAUCAGCAUGGCGAAAGAAAGAAAGAAAGAAAGAAAGAAAGAAAGAAACAUGUUCAGUCUUGACUUAGGAUUUACAAAUUAGAAAUACCUUUGUAGAAUGUCCUUAUAGCAUCAUUUUAUCCCUAGAUGUGUCAAAAGAGUAUCCAGAAAUUAGUGCCAUAUCCCUAGUUGUAUUUUCUGCCUAAAUGUCCAGGAAGGGUUACUAGCUAGUGUUACCUUUUGUCCCACUAUCCUCAAAGUAUUAGAAGAAGUCAUUCUAUUGACCCUCUAGAAAAUAACUACUGCGCACAAAGAGCAGUGCUUUUCAAUGUUGACAACACAUUAGAAUUACCCAGGCAAUUUUAACAAAUACCACUUAUUAUUCAAAAGGUCUGGGUGUGUUAGAAAUAUUUUAAAAAAAAUAUUCCAAUGAUUCUGAUGCAGCUCCUCAUUGGCCAUACUUUGAGAUACAUUGAUAUGAGCUGAAUCUACCAUUCUGUCUGCUUCAUGAGAGUUAAUCAAGAAUCCCAUCUUCUGGAAAACAGUGAUAUGCCAGUUCUCUUCAUGGUACUCCUUAAUCCACAUCUGUUUUCGGACACAAGGGGUUUUGAAUUACUUGAAAAUUGUAAGAGCAAUAUCCUGACCCACUUUACACAUCUCUGGCAGAAAUCUGGAUGGUUGUGAGCAAUCCACCCUCAGCGGCUGGACUCAACUACAAGAAGGAAAGCCCAGACAUUUUAAGAUACUUUCCCUUGGCAAGUUCAUAAAUCUGGAGUCUCAGGGCAGUUACUCCACCUGUAAAAUACCUUCUUUACCUCUCAGUCCCAAAUGAGGGAAAGUCAGAUGUGUAAAUAUAUGAAUUUCUUUCAUAAAAUGUGGUUAAGUUUCCAUGCUUGAUAAUGACUGAGUAGCUCCUAUCAGACCAAGAUCCUGUAAAUAACUAUUAUAAACUCUGGACAGAAUAAUAGAAAACAACUACCCAAAGCACCAGAGAGAAAACAACAUUUCCCAGGUACCAGAGGGCAGUCAAUAUGUAGAAAAGAGAAAUAGCAUGAGACAAGUUUCCCAUUUUUAAUGGCUUUUAGCCUAAAAGUAGGAUACAGUUGGCAUGCAAAGUGUAUGCCAAAAUUCAGAAAGAUAUACUAAAGAAGCCAGAAUACAGAAUGUGGGGCACCCAUAGUAACUGGAGAGUAAAGCAAAAAAUCUUAGAAACGAGAGGAACAAAAGAGUCCCAAAUUCUGUAAAUAACUGCUCUAAUCUUUGACUCACCCCCGAACUACAAAUUCAAGGGGGCAGUUUCUAGGCUGCCCAUUUAAGGCUAAGAACAAAAACAAACAAAAACUAUGAAUUAGAGCUUCAGUUUGAGUUCUCCUUAUAGAAACAUAUUAGAACCCAAAAUCUGUGCAACGCAUGAUUUAUAAUAUCCAAUAUACAUUCCAAAACUACAUGAUACAUUAAAAGUAGAAAUAUAUGACUAAUUUUCAAGGGAAAAACCAUCAACAGAGUCCAAUCUCAAGAUAAUACAGACGUUGGAAUUACAAGGCAAGGGUUUUUAAGCAACUAUUUUAAAUAUGCUCAAUAAGGUAUGGAAAAAUAUGGUUGUAUUGUGUGAAAAAAAAUAGGAAAUCUUAGCAGAGAAAUAGAAAUACCAAAAAAAAGAACCAAGAGGAAUUUAUUGAAAUAAAAUCAGAAACAUAGUAUCUGAAUAAUAGCAGAAGAAAAUUUUCGAAAGUUAUUGAAUUCAAAGAUACUCUAAUAGAAAUGUUUUAAUGUGAAGACAUGCAAGAGGAAAAAGAAGAUAAUAAAUUAAUAGUGCCUCAGGAGUCUGUGGGACAAUACAAAAAGGCACAAAAUACAAAUUAUUGAAGUCCUAGAGCACUUGUAAAAGACAAAUUUUAAAUGUUUCGGCAUAAUAAGUACCAUUAAAUGCCUCCAAGGACAUCAGUCAUACUGAUAAAGAACAAAGAUUAAGAAAAGAUAAAAUCUUGAAACAGAGAAAAAUGACACACUGCAUACAGAAAAAUAAAAAUUCAACAAAACAUUGACUUCUUAACAGAAAUAAUUAAGACCGAAAGAUAGCUGACAUGUGCAGAAAGAAGAUGGUCCAGAAAUAGAUGUGGGAAUGGAACAGGGAAAAAUACAGUAAUUUAACAUAAUUACAGAGGUGAUAAUGGAGAAAAUAUUGGAUACUCAAGUUUGUAUGAUGCAAUCAAACAUUAUAGACAAAGAUGAGAUAUAGGCAAGAAAAUUCCACCAUAAAUAAUAAAAAACAGAUAAUAAUGCAUAUUAAUAUGGCACCUAUUAUCAUAGGGUAAGAACAUACUAUGAUGGUCAUAUCUGAAUCUGAACUUCUAUAAAUUAUGUUUCUCCCAUAGGUGGUACCAUAUAAAUAAAGCCCAUGUUUUACACCUACUUCCCUUCCCAAAUUAUACAAACAUCUUAAGAAGGAUAGUUCUUCAAUCCUAGUGCUCCAUUUGUAUGAUAUAGCUAUGUAUUUCAAAAGCCUCUAAAAUAUUUGUGCUUUAACACAAUAAUUUCAAUUUGAUUAAUUUAGUCCAAGAAAAUUAUAUGAAGGGCAGACAAAUAUUUACAAACAGGAUAUUUAUCAGAGCUUUACUUAUACAAAUUUUUUAGAAAUAAUACUAAUAGCUGAAGUACAGACAUAAUUAGGUGACUAUGGGAUAUAUACAAAGUGAAACUAACAUACCAUUAAAAAAUCUUUGUGUGUCUACAUUUUUUAAUGAUAUGUGAUAAUGUUUAUAGCCGUUAAGUUGAAUUUUUAAAAAUUCUCAUUAACAUUAUCUGAAUUAUUUUUUAAAAAACUGGAAAGAAAAAUGCCAAAAUGCCCAUACUGCUUGUCUCUGGAUUGUGGAAUUAUUGUUUUCCUUAAUUUAGUUCUGAUCUUUCUACUUUUGGGGUAUUUGCAAAUAUUUCAUGAAAAAAUAUGUAAAAAAUAAACAUAGUUCCUAGAAAAACCAAGACUGUGUCCAACUGUGAUUUGCAGUUGAAGUGAUGAGGUAUAGGUGGGAGACUGGAUUCUAGGUACAAUAGUGUGCAGAAACUAGACAGAGAAUCAAAAAUCUAGGCACGUACUGCUAGUAAUAUAAGAGUCAGGACAUUCAUGAUUUAGAGAAAUCAGAAAACUGGCAGUCACUGACCAGAGGUAUGGAAGCAAAGGAAAAUCAAAUGGAUAAAACAGGAUAGGUGGUCAAAUAUUCAAGUGGGAAGUCAGGAACAAGAAAAGAAUAAAAAUCACAUUACUGAGGGGCAAGGAGAUGUUGACAGUGAGUUUCCUCAACAGGACACCGCCUAUGUGCUAUGGGUUAGGACAGAAACUGGUCUCAGGAUCUGGCCAGUUCAGAGUCCAUAUAGUAAAGCAAGUAAAUCAGCAAGCCCAACAAGAUAAAGGUAAAGAGGAGGCAUGGAUUUCAGUAAUCUCUUGUGUAGCCAACACCAGAGAAGAAAGG